Molecule: ribosomal RNA, 207 nt
Filed under: uncultured bacterium
Lineage: Bacteria
Description: partial 16S ribosomal RNA
Rfam family: Bacterial small subunit ribosomal RNA
Source: RNAcentral
UGCGUAGGCGGGUCUUUAAGUCAGGGGUGAAAUCCUGGAGCUCAACUCCAGAACUGCCUUUGAUACUGAAGAUCUUGAGUUCGGGAGAGGUGAGUGGAACUGCGAGUGUAGAGGUGAAAUCCGUAGAUAUUCGCAAGAACACCAGUGGCGAAGGCGGCUCACUGGCCCGAUACUGACGCUGAGGCACGAAAGCGUGGGGAGCAAACA